AAGGAAGAUCAGUUAAUGGUGAAGGUCCCGAUUAUCAACUCGAUUCAUCAAACGAAUUGGUAGAGCAACCAUCGUCACAGCCACCGCAACCAACUGAUGCACAACAAUCAUUGACGCGGGCGAAUCUUGCUGCAUUCAAUGCCGCCCAAGACGGCAGCAAGAAGAGCGGCAACAGCAAAAGUCAAGGCCUGCCAUCAAGUCCACCAUUACCAUACCUACGGCCACGCGGACCAAAUAAAAGUAAUUUACUUUUGACAACUCAACAACUCCAUACAAUAAUUAAAUAUUAACUUUUUAAAUUUUUGAAUAGGAUUUCCGAAUGAUGCUACAUUCACAGGU
This is a long non-coding RNA of Contarinia nasturtii (swede midge), 339 nucleotides long. RefSeq lists it as uncharacterized. The record is from RefSeq and is a predicted model, not a curated record. The transcript is spliced from 3 exons. NCBI's taxonomy places the organism in Eukaryota, Metazoa, Arthropoda, Insecta, Diptera, Cecidomyiidae.